GGGGGCGACAUGGAUUCGACGUGGGUGUUGAAACUCCGGGUGCAUGCCGAGGUGCAGGUUCCUCGUAAAACUGUUUGCAAAACUUUAGUUGCCAACGACGACAACUACGCUCUAGCUGCUUAAAAACCAGCCUAGUGCCCUCUGACCGGAUCGUGCUUGUGCGAUGUGGAUUCCAGGGGUCAUCCUUCACAAGAUCGCGAGUAAGGCAUGUCUGGGGCCGAACCGCUAAAACCUAACUAGACUGGUUUGUAGUUUUCCUCGCCCAUCGGGUAGCCGCAAACGAGAUUAAAGUAUGGGAUAAGCAUGUAGAGCCUGUAGCGGAGAGCUUACGGACGCGGGUUCGAUUCCCGCCGCCUCCACCA
RNAcentral lists this transfer-messenger RNA (362 nucleotides) under Chromatiales bacterium. It matches the Rfam family "transfer-messenger RNA". Rfam says of the family: Bacterial tmRNA, also known as 10Sa RNA or SsrA, is named for its dual tRNA and mRNA-like properties. Its role is to liberate the mRNA from a stalled ribosome. RNAcentral also lists the same sequence under 1 other name. Lineage: Bacteria; Pseudomonadati; Pseudomonadota; Gammaproteobacteria; Chromatiales. The record is from RNAcentral.